GCCUACGGGGCGCAGCAGUGAGGAAUAUUGGUCAAUGGCCGCAGGGCUGAACCAGCCAAGUCGCGUGAGGGAUGACGGUCCUAUGGAUUGUAAACCUCUUUUGUCAGGGAGCAAUUGGGUCCACGCGUGGGCUUAGCGAGAGUACCUGAAGAAAAAGCAUCGGCUAACUCCGUGCCAGCAGCCGCGGUAAUACGGAGGAUGCGAGCGUUAUCCGGAUUUAUUGGGUUUAAAGGGUGCGUAGGCGGAAUAUCAAGUCAGCGGUAAAAAUUCGGGGCUCAACCCCGUCGUGCCGUUGAAACUGAUGU
This 305-nucleotide ribosomal RNA is filed under the name uncultured bacterium. Its description in RNAcentral is "bacterial SSU rRNA". It matches the Rfam family "Bacterial small subunit ribosomal RNA", at positions 337 to 639 of the family's 1533-position model. The record is from RNAcentral.